RNAcentral lists this ribosomal RNA (413 nucleotides) under Encrasicholina heteroloba (shorthead anchovy). RNAcentral's name for it is "partial 16S ribosomal RNA". It matches the Rfam family "Bacterial large subunit ribosomal RNA", at positions 1997 to 2560 of the family's 2925-position model. Lineage: Eukaryota; Metazoa; Chordata; Actinopteri; Clupeiformes; Engraulidae. The record is from RNAcentral.
UGGUAUAACGAGGGUUUAACUGUCUCUUUUUUCUAGUCAGUUAAACUGAUCUGUCCGUGCAGAAGCGGACAUUACUAUACAAGACGAGAAGACCCUAUGGAGCUUUAGACACCAGCCAACUGUGAAAUAGCGAUUAAUACACCUUAUUCCCAAACAUCCGCAGCCUCUGGUAAAGUGUCUUAGGUUGGGGCGACCACGGGAGAAAGAAAAGCUCCCGAGCAGAACAGGGUUCACCCUGGAACUAAGAACGACAGCUCUAAGUCACAAAAUAUUUGACUGAAAUGAUCCGGACUAACAACCGAUUAACGAACCAAGUUACCCUAGGGAUAACAGCGCAAUCCCCUCCCAGAGUCCCUAUCGACGAGGGGGUUUACGACCUCGAUGUUGGAUCAGGACAUCCUAAUGGUGCAGCC